CUACGGGCCGCAGCAGUGGGGAAUAUUGCACAAUGGGCGCAAGCCUGAUGCAGCCAUGCCGCGUGUAUGAAGAAGGCCUUCGGGUUGUAAAGUACUUUCAGCGGGGAGGAAGGGAGUAAAGUUAAUACCUUUGCUCAUUGACGUUACCCGCAGAAGAAGCACCGGCUAACUCCGUGCCAGCAGCCGCGGUAAUACGGAGGGUGCAAGCGGUAAUCGGAAUUACUGGGCGUAAAGCGCACGCAGGCGGUUUGUUAAGUCAGAUGUGAAAUCCCCGGGCUCAACCUGGGAACUGCAUCUGAUACUGGCAAGCUUGAGUCUCGUAGAGGGGGGUAGAAUUCCAGGUGUAGCGGUGAAAUGCGUAGAGAUCUGGAGGAAUACCGGUGGCGAAGGCGGCCCCCUGGACGAAGACUGACGCUCAGGUGCGAAAGCGUGAGGAGCAAACAGGAUUAGAUACCCUUGUAGUC
Molecule: ribosomal RNA, 464 nt
Filed under: uncultured bacterium
Lineage: Bacteria
Description: partial 16S ribosomal RNA
Rfam family: Bacterial small subunit ribosomal RNA
Source: RNAcentral